CAAUAGCGUAUAUUUAAGUUGCUGCAGUUAAAAAGCUCGUAGUUGGAUUUCGGGUGGGAAUGGCCGGUCCGCCGUUUCGGUGUGCACUUGCUACGCCCACCUUGCUGCCGGGGACGUGCUCUUGAGUUCACGCUCGGGACACGGAGUCGGCGAGGUUACUUUGAGUAAAUUAGAGUGUUCAAAGCAGGCCUACGCUCUGAAUACAUUAGCAUGGAAUAAUAAGAUAGGACUUUGGUACUAUUUUGUUGGUUUGCAUACCAAAUUAAUGAUCAACAGGAACAGUUUGAGGAUAUUCGUAUGAACAUGUCAGAGGUGAAAUUCUUGGAUUUUGAUCAGACGAACUACUGCGAAAGCAUUUAUCAAGGAUGUUUUCAUUAA
This 378-nucleotide ribosomal RNA is filed under the name uncultured eukaryote. RNAcentral's name for it is "partial 18S ribosomal RNA". It matches the Rfam family "Eukaryotic small subunit ribosomal RNA", at positions 592 to 976 of the family's 1831-position model. The record is from RNAcentral.